RNAcentral lists this ribosomal RNA (206 nucleotides) under uncultured bacterium. Its description in RNAcentral is "partial 16S ribosomal RNA". It matches the Rfam family "Bacterial small subunit ribosomal RNA", at positions 524 to 729 of the family's 1533-position model. The record is from RNAcentral.
UACGAAGGGAGCUAGCGUUGUUCGGAAUCACUGGGCGUAAAGCGCACGUAGGCGGAUGUGUCAGUCAGGGGUGAAAUCCCGGGGCUCAACCCCGGAACUGCCUCUGAAACUGCAGUGCUAGAAUCUUGGAGAGGCGAGUGGAAUUCCGAGUGUAGAGGUGAAAUUCGUAGAUAUUCGGAAGAACACCAGUGGCGAAGGCGGUUACC